CUGGCUCAGAUUGAACGCUGGCGGCAGGCCUAACACAUGCAAGUCGAGCGGUAGAGAGAAGCUUGCUUCUCUUGAGAGCGGCGGACGGGUGAGUAAUGCCUAGGAAUCUGCCUGGUAGUGGGGGAUAACGUUCGGAAACGGACGCUAAUACCGCAUACGUCCUACGGGAGAAAGCAGGGGACCUUCGGGCCUUGCGCUAUCAGAUGAGCCUAGGUCGGAUUAGCUAGUUGGUGAGGUAAUGGCUCACCAAGGCUACGAUCCGUAACUGGUCUGAGAGGAUGAUCAGUCACACUGGAACUGAGACACGGUCCAGACUCCUACGGGAGGCAGCAGUGGGGAAUAUUGGACAAUGGGCGAAAGCCUGAUCCAGCCAUGCCGCGUGUGUGAAGAAGGUCUUCGGAUUGUAAAGCACUUUAAGUUGGGAGGAAGGGCAGUUACCUAAUACGUGAUUGUUUUGACGUACCGACAG
Molecule: ribosomal RNA, 469 nt
Filed under: Pseudomonas sp. R-37619
Lineage: Bacteria; Pseudomonadati; Pseudomonadota; Gammaproteobacteria; Pseudomonadales; Pseudomonadaceae
Description: bacterial SSU rRNA
Rfam family: Bacterial small subunit ribosomal RNA
Source: RNAcentral